Molecule: ribosomal RNA, 440 nt
Filed under: uncultured bacterium
Lineage: Bacteria
Description: partial 16S ribosomal RNA
Rfam family: Bacterial small subunit ribosomal RNA
Source: RNAcentral
CCUACGGGAGGCAGCAGUGGGGGAUAUUGCACAAUGGGGGGAACCCUGAUGCAGCGACGCCGCGUGGGUGAAGAAGCGCCUCGGCGCGUAAAGCCCUGUCAGCAGGGAAGAAAAUGACGGUACCUGAAGAAGAAGCCCCGGCUAACUACGUGCCAGCAGCCGCGGGAAUUCGUAGGGGGCAAGCGUUAUCCGGAUUUACUGGGUGUAAAGGGGGCGCAGACGGCGAUGCAAGCAAGGAGUGAAAGCCCGGGGCCCAACCCCGGGACUGCUCUUGGAACUGCGUGGCUGGAGUGCAGGAGGGGCAGGCGGAAUGCCUGGUGUAGCGGUGAAAUGCGUAGAUAUCAGGAGGAACACCGGUGGCGAAGGCGGCCUGCUGGACUGCAACUGACGUUGAGGCUCGAAAGCGUGGGGAGCAAACAGGAUUAGAUACCCCUGUAGUC